CUACGGGAGGCAGCAGUGGGGAAUUUUGCGCAAUGGGCUAACGCCUGACGCAGCAACGCCGCGUGGAGGAUGAAAUCCCUUGGGAUGUAAACUCCUUUCGAUCGGGACGAUUAUGACGGUACCGGAAGAAGAAGCCCCGGCUAACUUCGUGCCAGCAGCCGCGGUAAU
Molecule: ribosomal RNA, 168 nt
Filed under: uncultured bacterium
Lineage: Bacteria
Description: partial 16S ribosomal RNA
Rfam family: Bacterial small subunit ribosomal RNA
Source: RNAcentral